AUGAAUCUGACAAGUAACCAUGAGGUCCUGCGUUCGAUCCCUGUCCUCGCUCAGUGGGUUAAGGAGCCCACGUUGCUGUGGCUGUGGUGCAGGCCAACAGCUGUAGCUCCGAUUAGACCCCUAGCCUGGGAACCUCCAUAUACCUCAAGUGUGGCCCUAAAAAGCAAAAAAAAAAAAAAAAGUAAAGAAAACAAAAGCAGAGAGAGAACAGAGGGAGUAGACAUGGGUUUACCAUGUGUGGAGCAAAGACUCAUCACUCUGCUUCCCUACUGCACAUGCGUGUCGCUCUCUGCUUCCCUGUGGACAUGCGUGUCACUCUCUGCUUCCUUACUGCACAUGCGUGUCACUCUCUGCUUCCCUAUGCACAUGCGUGUCACUCUCUGCUUCCCUGCUGGAGAUGCGUGUCACUCUCUGCUUCCCUACUGCACAUGCGUGUCGCUCUGUGCUUCCCUGUGGACAUGCGUGUCGCUCUCUGCUUCCCUGUGGACAUGCGUGUCACUGCUUCCCUAUGGACAUGCGUGACACUCUCUGCUUCCCUACUGGACAUGCGGGUCGCUCUCUGCUUCCCUAUGGACAUGCGGGUCGCUCUCUGCUUCCCUAUGGACAUGCGGGUCGCUCUCUGCUUCCCUAUGGACAUGCGUGACACUCUCUGCUUCCCUACUGGACAUGCAUGUCACUCUCUGCUUCCCUAUGGACCUGCGUGUCACUCUCCGCUUCCCUAUGGACAUGCGUGUCACGCUGCUUCCCUACUGGACAGGCGUGUCGCUCUCUGCUUCCCUAUGGACCUGCGUGUCACUCUCCGCUUCCCUAUGGACAUGCGUGUCACUCUCUGCUUCCUUACUGCACAUGCGUGUCACUCUCUGCUUCCCUGCUGGAGAUGCGUGUCACUCUCUGCUUCCCUAUGGACCUGCGUGUCACUCUCCGCUUCCCUAUGGACAUGCGUGUCACGCUGCUUCCCUACUGGACAGGCGUGUCGCUCUCUGCUUCCCUAUGGACCUGCGUGUCACUCUCCGCUUCCCUAUGGACAUGCGUGUCACUCUGCUUCCCUACUGGACAUGCGUAUCACUCUCUGCUUCCCUGUGGACAUGUGUGUCGCUCUCUGCUUCCCUGUGGACAUGCGUGUCCCUCUCUGCUUCCCUGUGGACAUGUGUGUCGCUCUCUGCUUCCCUGUGGACAUGCGUGUCGCUCUCUGCUUCCCUAUGGACAUGCGUGUCACUCUCUGCUUCCCUACUGCACAUGCGUGUCACUCUCUGCUUCCCUACUGGAGAUGCGUGUCACUCUCUGCUUCCCUAUGGACAUGCGUGUCACUCUCUGCUUCCCUAUGGACAUGCGUGUCACUCUCUGCUUCCCUAUGGACAUGCGUGUCACUCUCUGCUUCCCUAUGGACAUGCGUGUCACUCUCUGCUUCCCUAUGGACAUGCGUGUCACUCUCUGCUUCCCUAUGGACAUGCGUGUCACUCUCUGCUUCCCUAUGGACAUGCGUGUCACUCUCUGCUUCCCUAUGGACAUGCGUGUCACUCUCUGCUUCCUUACUGCACAUGCGUGUCUCUCUCUGCUUCCCUAUGGACAUGCGUGUCGCUCUCUGCUUCCUUACUGCACAUGCGUGUCACAUGUGUUUUCUGUGA
This 1625-nucleotide long non-coding RNA is filed under the name Sus scrofa (pig). RNAcentral describes it as "lncRNA (ENSSSCG00065078118.1)". The record is from RNAcentral. Lineage: Eukaryota; Metazoa; Chordata; Mammalia; Artiodactyla; Suidae.